This 484-nucleotide ribosomal RNA is filed under the name uncultured bacterium. Its description in RNAcentral is "partial 16S ribosomal RNA". It matches the Rfam family "Bacterial small subunit ribosomal RNA", at positions 29 to 507 of the family's 1533-position model. The record is from RNAcentral.
AUUGAACGCUGGCGGCAUGCUUUACACAUGCAAGUCGAACGGCAGCGCGGGCUUCGGCCUGGCGGCGAGUGGCGAACGGGUGAGUAAUACAUCGGAACGUGCCCAGUAGUGGGGGAUAGCUCGGCGAAAGCCGGAUUAAUACCGCAUACGACCUGAGGGUGAAAGCGGGGGAUCUUCGGACCUCGCGCUAUUGGAGCGGCCGAUGGCAGAUUAGCUAGUUGGUGGGGUAAAGGCCUACCAAGGCGACGAUCUGUAGCUGGUCUGAGAGGACGACCAGCCACACUGGAACUGAGACACGGCCCAGACUCCUACGGGAGGCAGCAGUGGGGAAUUUUGGACAAUGGGCGAAAGCCUGAUCCAGCAAUGCCGCGUGUGUGAAGAAGGCCUUCGGGUUGUAAAGCACUUUUGGCGGGAAGGAAAAGAACUGUGCCAAUACCACGGUUCGAUGACGGUACCCGCAGAAUAAGCACCGGCUAACUACGUG